GGUUAAGCGACUAAGCGUACACGGUGGAUGCCCUGGCAGUCAGAGGCGAUGAAGGACGUGCUAAUCUGCGAUAAGCGUCGGUAAGGUGAUAUGAACCGUUAUAACCGGCGAUUUCCGAAUGGGGAAACCCAGUGUGUUUCGACACACUAUCAUUAACUGAAUCCAUAGGUUAAUGAGGCGAACCGGGGGAACUGAAACAUCUAAGUACCCCGAGGAAAAGAAAUCAACCGAGAUUCCCCCAGUAGCGGCGAGCGAACGGGGAGCAGCCCAGAGCCUGAAUCAGUGUGUGUGUUAGUGGAAGCGUCUGGAAAGGCGCGCGAUACAGGGUGACAGCCCCGUACACAAAAAUGCACAUACUGUGAGCUCGAUGAGUAGGGCGGGACACGUGGUAUCCUGUCUGAAUAUGGGGGGACCAUCCUCCAAGGCUAAAUACUCCUGACUGACCGAUAGUGAACCAGUACCGUGAGGGAAAGGCGAAAAGAACCCCGGCGAGGGGAGUGAAAAAGAACCUGAAACCGUGUACGUACAAGCAGUGGGAGCACGCUUAGGCGUGUGACUGCGUACCUUUUGUAUAAUGGGUCAGCGACUUAUAUUCUGUAGCAAGGUUAACCGAAUAGGGGAGCCGAAGGGAAACCGAGUAUUAACUGGGCGUUAAGUUGCAGGGUAUAGACCCGAAACCCGGUGAUCUAGCCAUGGGCAGGUUGAAGGUUGGGUAACACUAACUGGAGGACCGAACCGACUAAUGUUGAAAAAUUAGCGGAUGACUUGUGGCUGGGGGUGAAAGGCCAAUCAAACCGGGAGAUAGCUGGUUCUCCCCGAAAGCUAUUUAGGUAGCGCCUCGUGAAUUCAUCUCCGGGGGUAGAGCACUGUUUCGGCAAGGGGGUCAUCCCGACUUACCAACCCGAUGCAAACUGCGAAUACCGGAGAAUGUUAUCACGGGAGACACACGGCGGGUGCUAACGUCCGUCGUGAAGAGGGAAACAACCCAGACCGCCAGCUAAGGUCCCAAAGUCAUGGUUAAGUGGGAAACGAUGUGGGAAGGCCCAGACAGCCAGGAUGUUGGCUUAGAAGCAGCCAUCAUUUAAAGAAAGCGUAAUAGCUCACUGGUCGAGUCGGCCUGCGCGGAAGAUGUAACGGGGCUAAACCAUGCACCGAAGCUGCGGCAGCGACGCUUAUGCGUUGUUGGGUAGGGGAGCGUUCUGUAAGCCUGCGAAGGUGUGCUGUGAGGCAUGCUGGAGGUAUCAGAAGUGCGAAUGCUGACAUAAGUAACGAUAAAGCGGGUGAAAAGCCCGCUCGCCGGAAGACCAAGGGUUCCUGUCCAACGUUAAUCGGGGCAGGGUGAGUCGACCCCUAAGGCGAGGCCGAAAGGCGUAGUCGAUGGGAAACAGGUUAAUAUUCCUGUACUUGGUGUUACUGCGAAGGGGGGACGGAGAAGGCUAUGUUGGCCGGGCGACGGUUGUCCCGGUUUAAGCGUGUAGGCUGGUUUUCCAGGCAAAUCCGGAAAAUCAAGGCUGAGGCGUGAUGACGAGGCACUACGGUGCUGAAGCAACAAAUGCCCUGCUUCCAGGAAAAGCCUCUAAGCAUCAGGUAACAUCAAAUCGUACCCCAAACCGACACAGGUGGUCAGGUAGAGAAUACCAAGGCGCUUGAGAGAACUCGGGUGAAGGAACUAGGCAAAAUGGUGCCGUAACUUCGGGAGAAGGCACGCUGAUAUGUAGGUGAAGUCCCUCGCGGAUGGAGCUGAAAUCAGUCGAAGAUACCAGCUGGCUGCAACUGUUUAUUAAAAACACAGCACUGUGCAAACACGAAAGUGGACGUAUACGGUGUGACGCCUGCCCGGUGCCGGAAGGUUAAUUGAUGGGGUCAGCGCAAGCGAAGCUCUUGAUCGAAGCCCCGGUAAACGGCGGCCGUAACUAUAACGGUCCUAAGGUAGCGAAAUUCCUUGUCGGGUAAGUUCCGACCUGCACGAAUGGCGUAAUGAUGGCCAGGCUGUCUCCACCCGAGACUCAGUGAAAUUGAACUCGCUGUGAAGAUGCAGUGUACCCGCGGCAAGACGGAAAGACCCCGUGAACCUUUACUAUAGCUUGACACUGAACAUUGAGCCUUGAUGUGUAGGAUAGGUGGGAGGCUUUGAAGUGUGGACGCCAGUCUGCAUGGAGCCGACCUUGAAAUACCACCCUUUAAUGUUUGAUGUUCUAACGUUGACCCGUAAUCCGGGUUGCGGACAGUGUCUGGUGGGUAGUUUGACUGGGGCGGUCUCCUCCUAAAGAGUAACGGAGGAGCACGAAGGUUGGCUAAUCCUGGUCGGACAUCAGGAGGUUAGUGCAAUGGCAUAAGCCAGCUUGACUGCGAGCGUGACGGCGCGAGCAGGUGCGAAAGCAGGUCAUAGUGAUCCGGUGGUUCUGAAUGGAAGGGCCAUCGCUCAACGGAUAAAAGGUACUCCGGGGAUAACAGGCUGAUACCGCCCAAGAGUUCAUAUCGACGGCGGUGUUUGGCACCUCGAUGUCGGCUCAUCACAUCCUGGGGCUGAAGUAGGUCCCAAGGGUAUGGCUGUUCGCCAUUUAAAGUGGUACGCGAGCUGGGUUUAGAACGUCGUGAGACAGUUCGGUCCCUAUCUGCCGUGGGCGCUGGAGAACUGAGGGGGGCUGCUCCUAGUACGAGAGGACCGGAGUGGACGCAUCACUGGUGUUCGGGUUGUCAUGCCAAUGGCACUGCCCGGUAGCUAAAUGCGGAAGAGAUAAGUGCUGAAAGCAUCUAAGCACGAAACUUGCCCCGAGAUGAGUUCUCCCUGACUCCUUGAGAGUCCUGAAGGAACGUUGAAGACGACGACGUUGAUAGGCCGGGUGUGUAAGCGCAGCGAUGCGUUGAGCUAACCGGUACUAAUGAACCGUGAGGCUUAACCUU
Molecule: ribosomal RNA, 2904 nt
Filed under: Escherichia coli
Lineage: Bacteria; Pseudomonadati; Pseudomonadota; Gammaproteobacteria; Enterobacterales; Enterobacteriaceae
Description: 23S ribosomal RNA
Rfam family: Bacterial large subunit ribosomal RNA
Source: RNAcentral